Molecule: transfer RNA, 85 nt
Filed under: Felis catus (domestic cat)
Lineage: Eukaryota; Metazoa; Chordata; Mammalia; Carnivora; Felidae
Rfam family: tRNA
About the family: Transfer RNA (tRNA) molecules are approximately 80 nucleotides in length. Their secondary structure includes four short double-helical elements and three loops (D, anti-codon, and T loops). Further hydrogen bonds mediate the characteristic L-shaped molecular structure. tRNAs have two regions of fundamental functional importance: the anti-codon, which is responsible for specific mRNA codon recognition, and the 3' end, to which the tRNAs corresponding amino acid is attached (by aminoacyl-tRNA synthetases). tRNAs cope with the degeneracy of the genetic code in two manners: having more than one tRNA (with a specific anti-codon) for a particular amino acid; and 'wobble' base-pairing, i.e. permitting non-standard base-pairing at the 3rd anti-codon position.
Source: Rfam by way of RNAcentral
GCCUGGGUGGCUCAGUCGGUUGAGCAUCUGACUUUGGCUCAGGUCACAAUCUCGCAGUCUGUGAGUUCGAGCCCCACGUCGGGCU